Molecule: long non-coding RNA, 1437 nt
Filed under: Salvator merianae (Argentine black and white tegu)
Lineage: Eukaryota; Metazoa; Chordata; Lepidosauria; Squamata; Teiidae
Description: lncRNA (ENSSMRG00000009205.1)
Source: RNAcentral
GCACAACGUGGAGCUGGAGAGACUUGGCAGAAUGUUGGUGUGAUCUGUGCAUCAAGAAAGAACUGGAACAAGGUGAAUAGAACUGGAUGACAGUCAAAGAGAUGAAUGCAGACGUGACAAGCCCAAGUAAAGCAUUAUGUUGAGAAGUUUGAGGAACACCAAAAGCAUUCCAGCAGCACCUCUGUUGCAGUCCCCAGUUGGGUGAGCUCAUCCGCACAACUGAAACUAUGAUCCAGGAUAGAGAGAACCUUAAGUCAACAGCAGUCUGGAGCGGUUUCCAUUUUCCGCAAGAGGUGAUGCAAGCCUGGUCCGGCCAUGAAGGUCGGAUCAAACACGUGGACUUCAAACAAAACCUGUUCGCUGGUUCUUGGCAGGAGAGUGAACUUCUUGACUGGACUCACCUGCGUUGGCCCCUAUUGCUCCUGCAUAAGAAAUGUAAAGAAACUCUUUCAGAAGCUUGCAUUUUCAUAAGUAUAUAUGUUAAUAAUUAUUGAUUUUCUAGGUAACUUUCUUUUUUAAAUUUAUUUAUUUAUAUUUCUAUCUUGCCCUAUUCCUGAAGGUCUUAGAGUAGGUCUCAAUAAGAUUUUUGCAUGAAGGUUAAACCAAUAAUAUCGUCUCUAUCCUGUGGCUAAGAGAAUCUUCAUUUCUUCUGUCUGUCUUUCGUUCCUUUGAAAGCCCCAAAACUUUCCCAGAAGCCUUUGUUCUUCACCAUUUCCUUCCCAAUAUCUCUUUUCAUCUUUUUUGCCAGGCUCAUUAGCUGUUAAUUGCAAGUUUUAAACAAAAUGAAACAAAGAUAGCUUUCGCCACAUGCAAGGAACCAGUCCAAUAGUGUUGAUGUAAAGAGUCAGCCGUGGACAGAAGGGAAACAAAAUGGAUUUUCUACUCUAAUUGCUCUCCGUUAUUAUUAUUUUUCCCCUGUUUUUCUCUCUGCUUUUCCCGUCUGGUGCUUACUAAAUAAUUAAUAUGAUAACCACAUUGCAUGUAUACCACACCGCAUGGACCUAGCAGAAGUAAAACUCACAUUGAAUUGACAAAGGAAAAACGUAUAAAAAGGGGACUGUGGUGUGGAGAUUCUGAAAGUUAUUCAGAGAACUUGACCAGUGUUCGUUCUAAAGCAAAAGCCCUGCAAAGCUUUUAUUUCAAAUCCAAUAAGAAGGACUCAUAGAAUAGCUUGCAGGAGUUACUAUUAAUUUCCGUGUGUGCUUUGGCUAUGGCUUGUGAGAGCUGUAAUUCAAAAAGGAAAGUUUUAAAACCCUACCUAGUUCAUUAAAAGACUGUUUUGGGUAUGCAGAUGAAUCUCACCUAUUGUUCAAGGAGAUACAGCUGACAGUUUUCUUCUGGGGUUGUGUUUUCUGGGAGAGUUUGAAGUUUGUGAUAAGCCUUGGAAGAAGAGAAGAGAGUUGUGGUUUUAGAAAUUUACAUCUCUCUUUCUCUUUU